Molecule: ribosomal RNA, 253 nt
Filed under: uncultured bacterium
Lineage: Bacteria
Description: partial 16S ribosomal RNA
Rfam family: Bacterial small subunit ribosomal RNA
Source: RNAcentral
GACAGAGGUGCCGAGCGUUAGGCGGAAUCACUGGGCUUAAAGCGUGUGUAGGCGGACUUCUAAGUACCUUGUGAAAUCCCACGGCUCAACCGUGGAACUGCUUGGUAUACUGGUUGUCUUGAGCCACUUAGGGGCAGUCGGAACAGACGGUGGAGCGGUGAAAUGCGUAGAUAUCGGAAGGAACAUCAGUGGCGAAGGCGACUUCCUGGACCAAUACUGACGCUCAGGUGCGAAAGCGUGGGGAGCAAACAGG